UAAGGAACUACAGGUGUGAUGUGUGAUUUCAUUAAACGUAUCACAGCCGUAGUUGCCUUACU
Molecule: microRNA precursor, 62 nt
Filed under: Tribolium castaneum (red flour beetle)
Lineage: Eukaryota; Metazoa; Arthropoda; Insecta; Coleoptera; Tenebrionidae
Description: Tca-Mir-2-P5d_pre stem-loop
Source: RNAcentral